ACGGGAGGCAGCAGUGGGGAAUAUUGCGCAAUGGGGGGAACCCUGACGCAGCAAUACCGCGUGAGUGAAGAAGGUUUUCGGGUCGUAAAACUCUUUUAUUAGGGAAGAAUAAAUGACGGUACCUAAUGAAGAAGUCCCGGCUAACUACGUGCCAGCAGCCGCGGUAAUACGUAGGGGACAAGCGUUGUCCGGAAUGACUGGGCGUAAAGGGCGUGUAGGCGGCUUUAUAAGUCUGACGUGAAAGGUACCGGCUCAACCGGUGACAUGCGUUGGAAACUGUAGAGCCUGAGUACUGGAGAGGCAAGCGGAAUUCCUAGUGUAGCGGUGAAAUGCGUAGAUAUUCGGAGGAACACCAGUGGCGAAGGCGGCUUGCUGGGCUCUAACUGACGCUGAGGCUCGAAAGUGUGGGGAGCAAACAGGAUUAGAUACCCUGGUA
This 436-nucleotide ribosomal RNA is filed under the name uncultured Pseudoramibacter sp. RNAcentral describes it as "bacterial SSU rRNA". It matches the Rfam family "Bacterial small subunit ribosomal RNA", at positions 341 to 792 of the family's 1533-position model. The record is from RNAcentral. Lineage: Bacteria; Bacillati; Bacillota; Clostridia; Eubacteriales; Eubacteriaceae.